This 460-nucleotide ribosomal RNA is filed under the name Alkalibacterium sp. G17.65. Its description in RNAcentral is "bacterial SSU rRNA". It matches the Rfam family "Bacterial small subunit ribosomal RNA", at positions 56 to 500 of the family's 1533-position model. The record is from RNAcentral. Lineage: Bacteria; Bacillati; Bacillota; Bacilli; Lactobacillales; Carnobacteriaceae.
UGCAGUCGACGCUGAGCACUCUGCUUGCAGAGUGUGGAUGAGUGGCGAACGGGUGAGUAACACGUGGGGAACCUGCCCAUAAGAGGGGGAUAACAUCCGGAAACGGGUGCUAAUACCGCAUAGGUGAUCAUAGCGCAUGCUUAGAUCAUUAAAGAUGGCUUCGGCUAUCGCUUAUGGAUGGCCCCGCGGCGUAUUAGCUAGUUGGUGAGGUAAUGGCUCACCAAGGCUGUGAUACGUAGCCGACCUGAGAGGGUGAUCGGCCACACUGGAACUGAGACACGGUCCAGACUCCUACGGGAGGCAGCAGUAGGGAAUCUUCCACAAUGGGCGAAAGCCUGAUGGAGCAAUACCGCGUGAGUGAAGAAGGUCUUCGGAUCGUAAAGCUCUGUUGUUAGAGAAGAACAAGAGGUGUAGUAACUGGCACCUCCUUGACGGUAUCUAACCAGAAAGUCACGGCUAA